Molecule: ribosomal RNA, 460 nt
Filed under: uncultured bacterium
Lineage: Bacteria
Description: partial 16S ribosomal RNA
Rfam family: Bacterial small subunit ribosomal RNA
Source: RNAcentral
CCUACGGGAGGCAGCAGUGAGGAAUAUUGGUCAAUGGACGAGAGUCUGAACCAGCCAAGUAGCGUGAAGGAUGACUGCCCUAUGGGUUGUAAACUUCUUUUAUAAAGGAAUAAAACGAGGCACGUGUGCCUUUUUGCAUGUACUUUAUGAAUAAGGAUCGGCUAACUCCGUGCCAGCAGCCGCGGUAAUACGGAGGAUCCGAGCGUUAUCCGGAUUUAUUGGGUUUAAAGGGAGCGUAGAUGGGUUGUUAAGUCAGUUGUGAAAGUUUGCGGCGCAACCGUAAAAUUGCAAUUGAUACUGGCAGUCGUGAGUACAGUUGAGGUAGGCGGAAUUCGUGGUGUAGCGGUGAAAUGCUUAGAUAUCACGAAGAAACCCGAUUGCGAAGGCAGCUUACUAAACUGUGACUGACAUUGAUGCUCGAAAGUGUGGGUAUCAAACAGGAUUAGAUACCCCUGUAGUC